Molecule: unclassified non-coding RNA, 372 nt
Filed under: Streptococcus agalactiae
Lineage: Bacteria; Bacillati; Bacillota; Bacilli; Lactobacillales; Streptococcaceae
Description: partial 16S-23S ribosomal RNA intergenic spacer
Rfam family: Bacterial small subunit ribosomal RNA (bases 1-77)
Source: RNAcentral
CUAAGGUGGGAUAGAUGAUUGGGGUGAAGUCGUAACAAGGUAGCCGUAUCGGAAGGUGCGGCUGGAUCACCUCCUUUCUAAGGAUAAGGAAACCUGCCAUUUGCGUCUUGUUUAGUUUUGAGAGGUCUUGUGGGGCCUUAGCUCAGCUGGGAGAGCGCCUGCUUUGCACGCAGGAGGUCAGCGGUUCGAUCCCGCUAGGCUCCAUUGAAUCGAAAGGUUCAAAUUGUUCAUUGAAAAUUGAAUAUCUAUAUCAAAUUCCACGAUCUAGAAAUAGAUUGUAGAAAGUAACAAGAAAAUAAACCGAAAACGCUGUGAAUAUUUAAUGAGUUUUCUAGUUUUAAAGAAACUAGUUUAAUAAGGUUAAGUUAAUAA